CCCGAGCGUUCAUUGGGGAGCUGACUGUCAAUCUGCAGUCAUCGACUUAAAGGUUCGACUCGAGCGCCAGCGAGAGAACGUUGCCAAGGGCAACGGACCGAAGGGUGAGGAGCUUUAGCUCCGAAUAAUCCUUCCCUCCUGUUGA
RNAcentral lists this small RNA (145 nucleotides) under Klebsiella quasipneumoniae. RNAcentral describes it as "RtT sRNA". It matches the Rfam family "RtT RNA". From Rfam's summary of the family: This family represents a bacterial cis-regulatory element known as RtT RNA. The exact function of RtT is unknown although it is thought that it may be involved in changing the cellular response in relation to amino acid starvation. The record is from RNAcentral. Lineage: Bacteria; Pseudomonadati; Pseudomonadota; Gammaproteobacteria; Enterobacterales; Enterobacteriaceae.